GUUCAAGUCCACUCAGGCCUACCAAAUUUGCACGGCAAAUUUGAAGAGGUUUUAACUACAUGUUAUGGGGCUAUAGCUCAGCUGGGAGAGCGCCUGCUUUGCACGCAGGAGGUCUGCGGUUCGAUCCCGCAUAGCUCCACCAUCUCUGUAGUGAUUAAAUAAAAAAUACUUCAGAGUGUACCUGCAAAGGUUCACUGCGAAGUUUUGCUCUUUAAAAAUCUGGAUCAAGCUGAAAAUUGAAACACUGAACAACGNAGCCCAGAGCCUGAAUCAGUGUGUGUGUUAGUGGAAGCGUCUGGAAAGGCGCGCGAUACAGGGUGACAGCCCCGUACACAAAAAUGCACAUGCUGUGAGCUCGAUGAGUAGGGCGGGACACGUGGUAUCCUGUCUGAAUAUGGGGGGACCAUCCUCCAAGGCUAAAUACUCCUGACUGACCGAUAGUGAACCAGUACCGUGAGGGAAAGGCGAAAAGAACCCCGGCGAGGGGAGUGAAAAAGAACCUGAAACCGUGUACGUACAAGCAGUGGGAGCACAGAGCAAUCUGUGUGACUGCGUACCUUUUGUAUAAUGGGUCAGCGACUUAUAUUCUGUAGCAAGGUUAACCGAAUAGGGGAGCCGAAGGGAAACCGAGUCUUAACUGGGCGUUAAGUUGCAGGGUAUAGACCCGAAACCCGGUGAUCUAGCCAUGGGCAGGUUGAAGGUUGGGUAACACUAACUGGAGGACCGAACCGACUAAUGUUGAAAAAUUAGCGGAUGACUUGUGGCUGGGGGUGAAAGGCCAAUCAAACCGGGAGAUAGCUGGUUCUCCCCGAAAGCUAUUUAGGUAGCGCCUCGUGAAUUCAUCUCCGGGGGUAGAGCACUGUUUCGGCAAGGGGGUCAUCCCGACUUACCAACCCGAUGCAAACUGCGAAUACCGGAGAAUGUUAUCACGGGAGACACACGGCGGGUGCUAACGUCCGUCGUGAAGAGGGAAACAACCCAGACCGCCAGCUAAGGUCCCAAAGUCAUGGUUAAGUGGGAAACGAUGUGGGAAGGCCCAGACAGCCAGGAUGUUGGCUUAGAAGCAGCCAUCAUUUAAAGAAAGCGUAAUAGCUCACUGGUCGAGUCGGCCUGCGCGGAAGAUGUAACGGGGCUAAACCAUGCACCGAAGCUGCGGCAGCGACACUGUGUGUUGUUGGGUAGGGGAGCGUUCUGUAAGCCUGUGAAGGNAUGCUGGAGGUAUCAGAAGUGCGAAUGCUGACAUAAGUAACGAUAAAGCGGGUGAAAAGCCCGCUCGCCGGAAGACCAAGGGUUCCUGUCCAACGUUAAUCGGGGCAGGGUGAGUCGACCCCUAAGGCGAGGCCGAAAGGCGUAGUCGAUGGGAAACAGGUUAAUAUUCCUGUACUUGGUGUUACUGCGAAGGGGGGACGGAGAAGGCUAUGUUGGCCGGGCGACGGUUGUCCCGGUUUAAGCGUGUAGGCUGGUUUUCCAGGCAAAUCCGGAAAAUCAAGGCUGAGGCGUGAUGACGAGGCACUACGGUGCUGAAGCAACAAAUGCCCUGCUUCCAGGAAAAGCCUCUAAGCAUCAGGUAACAUCAAAUCGUACCCCAAACCGACACAGGUGGUCAGGUAGAGAAUACCAAGGCGCUUGAGAGAACUCGGGUGAAGGAACUAGGCAAAAUGGUGCCGUAACUUCGGGAGAAGGCACGCUGAUAUGUAGGUGAAGUCCCUCGCGGAUGGAGCUGAAAUCAGUCGAAGAUACCAGCUGGCUGCAACUGUUUAUUAAAAACACAGCACUGUGCAAACACGAAAGUGGACGUAUACGGUGUGACGCCUGCCCGGUGCCGGAAGGUUAAUUGAUGGGGUCAGCGCAAGCGAAGCUCUUGAUCGAAGCCCCGGUAAACGGCGGCCGUAACUAUAACGGUCCUAAGGUAGCGAAAUUCCUUGUCGGGUAAGUUCCGACCUGCACGAAUGGCGUAAUGAUGGCCAGGCUGUCUCCACCCGAGACUCAGUGAAAUUGAACUCGCUGUGAAGAUGCAGUGUACCCGCGGCAAGACGGAAAGACCCCGUGAACCUUUACUAUAGCUUGACACUGAACAUUGAGCCUUGAUGUGUAGGAUAGGUGGGAGGCUUUGAAGUGUGGACGCCAGUCUGCAUGGAGCCGACCUUGAAAUACCACCCUUUAAUGUUUGAUGUUCUAACGUGGACCCGUGAUCCGGGUUGCGGACAGUGUCUGGUGGGUAGUUUGACUGGGGCGGUCUCCUCCUAAAGAGUAACGGAGGAGCACGAAGGUUGGCUAAUCCUGGUCGGACAUCAGGAGGUUAGUGCAAUGGCAUAAGCCAGCUUGACUGCGAGCGUGACGGCGCGAGCAGGUGCGAAAGCAGGUCAUAGUGAUCCGGUGGUUCUGAAUGGAAGGGCCAUCGCUCAACGGAUAAAAGGUACUCCGGGGAUAACAGGCUGAUACCGCCCAAGAGUUCAUAUCGACGGCGGUGUUUGGCACCUCGAUGUCGGCUCAUCACAUCCUGGGGCUGAAGUAGGUCCCAAGGGUAUGGCUGUUCGCCAUUUAAAGUGGUACGCGAGCUGGGUUUAGAACGUCGUGAGACAGUUCGGUCCCUAUCUGCCGUGGGCGCUGGAGAACUGAGGGGGGCUGCUCCUAGUACGAGAGGACCGGAGUGGACGCAUCACUGGUGUUCGGGUUGUCAUGCCAAUGGCACUGCCCGGUAGCUAAAUGCGGAAGAGAUAAGUGCUGAAAGCAUCUAAGCACGAAACUUGCCCCGAGAUGAGUUCUCCCUGACCCUUUAAGGGUCCUGAAGGAACGUUGAAGACGACGACGUUGAUAGGCCGGGUGUGUAAGCGCAGCGAUGCGUUGAGCUAACCGGUACUAAUGAACCGUGAGGCUUAACCUU
This 2884-nucleotide ribosomal RNA is filed under the name Escherichia coli. Its description in RNAcentral is "bacterial LSU rRNA". It matches the Rfam family "Bacterial large subunit ribosomal RNA". Lineage: Bacteria; Pseudomonadati; Pseudomonadota; Gammaproteobacteria; Enterobacterales; Enterobacteriaceae. The record is from RNAcentral.